AACGAACGCUGGCGGCAUGCCUAACACAUGCAAGUCGAACGAGACCUUCGGGUCUAGUGGCGCACGGGUGCGUAACGCGUGGGAACCUGCCCUUAGGUUCGGAAUAACUCCCCGAAAGGGGUGCUAAUACCGGAUAAUGUCUUCGGACCCAAGAUUUAUCGCCUUUGGAUGGGCCCGCGUUGGAUAAGCUAGUUGGUAGGGUAAAAGCCUACCAAGGCGACGAUCCAUAGCUGGUCUGAGAGGAUGAUCAGCCACACUGGGACUGAGACACGGCCCAGACUCCUACGGGAGGCAGCAGUGGGGAAUAUUGGACAAUGGGCGAAAGCCUGAUCCAGCAAUGCCGCGUGAGUGAUGAAGGCCUUAGGGUUGUAAAGCUCUUUUACCCGGGAUGAUAAUGACGGUACCGGGAGAAUAAGCUCCGGCUAACUCCGUG
RNAcentral lists this ribosomal RNA (433 nucleotides) under uncultured bacterium. RNAcentral's name for it is "partial 16S ribosomal RNA". It matches the Rfam family "Bacterial small subunit ribosomal RNA", at positions 29 to 507 of the family's 1533-position model. The record is from RNAcentral.